This 883-nucleotide ribosomal RNA is filed under the name uncultured bacterium. Its description in RNAcentral is "bacterial SSU rRNA". It matches the Rfam family "Bacterial small subunit ribosomal RNA", at positions 547 to 1432 of the family's 1533-position model. The record is from RNAcentral.
GNAUUUAUUGGGCGUAAAGCGAGCGCAGGCGGUUAGAUAAGUCUGAAGUUAAAGGCUGUGGCUUAACCAUAGUACGCUUUGGAAACUGUUUAACUUGAGUGCAGAAGGGGAGAGUGGAAUUCCAUGUGUAGCGGUGAAAUGCGUAGAUAUAUGGAGGAACACCGGUGGCGAAAGCGGCUCUCUGGUCUGUAACUGACGCUGAGGCUCGAAAGCGUGGGGAGCGAACAGGAUUAGAUACCCUGGUAGUNCACGCCGUAAACGAUGAGUGCUAGGUGUUAGGCCCUCUCCGGGGCUUAGUGCCGCAGCUAACGCAUUAAGCACUCCGCCUGGGGAGUACGACCGCAAGGUUGAAACUCAAAGGAAUUGACGGGGGCCCGCACAAGCGGUGGAGCAUGUGGUUUAAUUCGAAGCAACGCGAAGAACCUUACCAGGUCUUGACAUCCCGAUGCCCGCUCUAGAGAUAGAGUUUUACUUCGGUACAUCGGUGACAGGUGGUGCAUGGUUGUCGUCAGCUCGUGUCGUGAGAUGUUGGGUUAAGUCCCGCAACGAGCGCAACCCUUAUUGUUAGUUGCCAUCAUUCAGUUGGGCACUCUAGCGAGACUGCCGGUAAUAAACCGGAGGAAGGUGGGGAUGACGUCAAAUCAUCAUGCCCCUUAUAACCUGGGCUACACACGUGCUACGAUGGCUGGUACAACGAGUCGCAAGUCGGUGACGGCAAGCUAAUCUCUUAAAGCCAGUCUCAGUUCGGAUUGUAGGCUGCAACUCGUCUACAUGAAGUCGGAAUCGCUAGUAAUCGCGGAUCAGCACGCCGCGGUGAAUACGUUCCCGGGCCUUGUACACACCGCCCGUCACACACGAGAGUUUGUAACACCCGAAGUCGGUG